This 465-nucleotide ribosomal RNA is filed under the name uncultured bacterium. RNAcentral describes it as "bacterial SSU rRNA". It matches the Rfam family "Bacterial small subunit ribosomal RNA", at positions 33 to 507 of the family's 1533-position model. The record is from RNAcentral.
ACGACGCUGGCGGCGUGCCUAACACAUGCAAGUCGAACGAGGUCCAAGGAAGCUUGCUUCCUGAAGACCUAGUGGCGAACGGGUGAGUAACACGUGAGAAACCUGCCUCGGAGUGGGGAAUAACUCGGGGAAACUCGAGCUAAUACCGCAUACCUUCACAUGAUCGCAUGGUCGAGUGAAGAAAGAAUUUCGCUCUGAGAGGGUCUCGCGGCCUAUCAGCUUGUUGGUGGGGUAACGGCCUACCAAGGCAACGACGGGUAGCUGGUUUGAGAGAACGAUCAGCCACACUGGGACUGAGACACGGCCCAGACUCCUACGGGAGGCAGCAGUGGGGAAUCUUGCGCAAUGGGCGAAAGCCUGACGCAGCAACGCCGCGUGCGGGAUGACGGCCUUCGUGGUUGUAAACCGCUUUCAGCAGGGACGAAAAUGACGGUACCUGCAGAAGAAGCCCCGGCUAACUACGUG